RNAcentral lists this ribosomal RNA (484 nucleotides) under uncultured bacterium. RNAcentral's name for it is "partial 16S ribosomal RNA". It matches the Rfam family "Bacterial small subunit ribosomal RNA", at positions 30 to 507 of the family's 1533-position model. The record is from RNAcentral.
AUUGAACGCUGGCGGCGGGCCUAACACAUGCAAGUCGAGCGGAUGAAGGAGGCUUGCUCCUGUAUUCAGCGGCGGACGGGUGAGUAAUUCCUAGGAAUCUGCCUGGUCUUGGGGGAUAACGUCCGGACACGGGCGCUAAUCCCGCAUACGUCCUGAGAGAGAAAGUGGGGGAUCUUUGGACCUCACGCUAUCAGAUGAGCCUAGGUCGGAUUAGCUAGUUGGUGGGGUAAAGGCCUACCAAGGCGACGAUCCGUAACUGGUCUGAGAGGCUGAUCAGUCACACUGGAACUGAGACACGGUCCAGACUCCUACGGGAGGCAGCAGUGGGGAAUAUUGGACAAUGGGCGAAAGCCUGACGGAGCAAUGCCGCGUGUGUGAAGAAGGUCUUCGGAUUGUAAAGCACUGUAAGUAGGGAGGAAGGGAAGUAAGUGAAUAUCUGGAUGUUUUGACGUUACCAACAGAAUAAGCAACGGCUAACUUCGUG